This 468-nucleotide ribosomal RNA is filed under the name uncultured bacterium. RNAcentral describes it as "partial 16S ribosomal RNA". It matches the Rfam family "Bacterial small subunit ribosomal RNA", at positions 28 to 507 of the family's 1533-position model. The record is from RNAcentral.
GACGAACGCUGGCGGCGUGCUUAACACAUGCAAGUCGAACGGAAAGGCCCUGCUUUUGUGGGGUGCUCGAGUGGCGAACGGGUGAGUAACACGUGAGUAACCUGCCCUUGACUUUGGGAUAACUUCAGGAAACUGGGGCUAAUACCGGAUAGGAGCUCCUGCUGCAUGGUGGGGGUUGGAAAGUUUCGGCGGUUGGGGAUGGACUCGCGGCUUAUCAGCUUGUUGGUGGGGUAGUGGCUUACCAAGGCUUUGACGGGUAGCCGGCCUGAGAGGGUGACCGGCCACAUUGGGACUGAGAUACGGCCCGGACUCCUACGGGAGGCAGCAGUGGGGAAUAUUGCACAAUGGGCGGAAGCCUGAUGCAGCAACGCCGCGUGCGGGAUGACGGCCUUCGGGUUGUAAACCGCUUUCGCCUGUGACGAAGCGUGAGUGGCGGUAAUGGGUAAAGAAGCACCGGCUAACUACGUG